RNAcentral lists this long non-coding RNA (1511 nucleotides) under Mytilus galloprovincialis (Mediterranean mussel). The record is from RNAcentral. Lineage: Eukaryota; Metazoa; Mollusca; Bivalvia; Mytilida; Mytilidae.
UAAAUUACCAAGUUAUGUUAUCAAGAUUUCUCAGCUAUGUGACCAGCACAAUGAAAAAUACGUCAUUUACUGCAAGAAGCAUGAAUGCCCUUGUUGCAGCAACUGCAUUGUACAAAGUCACAAUAGAUGUGAUGAAAUCGUAAAACUAGAUGAUGUCAUUAAAAACGCCAAGACAUCAAAUGCAUUCUACGAAAUCGAGCAGACAUUAGCAGAAGUAGUAGAAAAUAUUGGAAAAAUCCGAAUAGACCGACAAAAGAACCAGCUGACCUUAUCUGAGACUCGGAAACAGAUUGAGAAAGAAAUCGCAGAGACCCGAAUAGCGAUCAAUAAUCAUAUCGACAAAAUACAAACAGAUAUAAUAAAGGAGCUAUGUGCAUCAGAAGACAAGGAGAGUAGAAAAAUCAGUCAACUGUUAAUUUCUCUAGAGGAAAAACAACAAGAGAUUUUGUCAUUGCAGGAUAGUAUUUCAGAUAUCAAACAGAAUGCUUCUGAUCUUCAGACUUUUUUGUCUAUGAAACGAAUCGAAAAGGAGGUUUCUGGUAAAGAUGAAUUCAUCAGGUCAAUAUCAGCUAAUGCGAAUUUGAAAAAGAUCGUUCUGUCAUUUCGUAUCAACACUGCAAUUAAAAAUCUCAUUUCCGACAUUCAAAAUUUCGGAAGGAUCACGGUUGAAAGUAAACCGUCAAAUAUUGAGCUUACCACGAGAAAUCAAAAACAAGCUCAAAUGAUGGUGGCAAAAUUACCAUCAAGAUCGUUUGGAAAUAUUAAUCUAAAGUUAAAGCAUUCAAUUAACACGGAACGAAACAAAGACAUUCUUGGUAUAAGUCUGUUACCUGAUGGAAGGAUUGUAAUUUCAAGCAGAAUAAGUUAUUUUGACAACGGUACUAUAUCCGUUCUGAACCCAAAUCGAUCCCUGGAUUUUGAAAUAGGAUUACCAUCACCAUCCUUUGAUGUAACAUACAUUACAGAAGACAAUACUUUGGUUGUAUCAUCUGGUUAUUCUUAUUCCAGGUGUAUUUACAUUAUUGACAUUCAAAACCAAAGAGUCAAGAAAACUAUUUCUUUAAAUGGGUAUAUAUAUGGGAUAACAUAUAAUAGAGCCGAUUUAAUUUAUUCUGGGCGAUAUCAAGGAAUUCGAAUGAUAAAUCCUAAUAACGAGACCGUCAGCGAUAUAGUUGUAGAUGAAAUGCAGUCCGAAAGCUACGUUACAACAUUUGGUGACAAGCUGUAUCAUACCAACCCGGAUAAAAACACCGUUACAUGUUAUAAUCUACAAGGUAAACUACAAUGGACAUUUCAAAAUGAAAGUGUUUUGCAGACACCAGGAGGCAUCAUCGUAGAUAGCAGUGGUGACAUAUACGUAGUAGGAUGUAAAUCAAACAAUGUGAUACUUAUCUCUGCUGAUGGAAAACAACACCAACAAUUGCUAUCUACCAAGGACGGUCUCUCCGAACCAAAGGCGAUUCAUUUUAGUAUGGAAAGAAAAAUGUUGAUUGUAGCCAAUAAAAGAGGAA